Molecule: non-coding RNA, 99 nt
Organism: Acanthosepion pharaonis
Lineage: Eukaryota; Metazoa; Mollusca; Cephalopoda; Sepiida; Sepiidae
Source: the annotation of a GenBank genome assembly
GUUGAAACACCGGUUCUCGUACGAUCACCGAAGUUAAGCAACGUCGAGCCUAGUCAGUACCUAGAUGGGUGACCGCUUUGGAAUACCAGCUGCUGUCAG